This 878-nucleotide ribosomal RNA is filed under the name uncultured eukaryote. Its description in RNAcentral is "SSU rRNA". It matches the Rfam family "Eukaryotic small subunit ribosomal RNA", at positions 573 to 1470 of the family's 1831-position model. The record is from RNAcentral.
GCCGCGGUAAUUCCAGCUCCAAUAGCGUAUACUAAAGUUGUUGCGGUUAAAAAGCUCGUAGUUGGAUCUUGGAAUGUGUUCAAGCGGGUCAGCUUCUGGCUGUGCGCUGCUUGACGUGUUCUUCUAUUUGGUUUUGGUGCGGUGCGCUUAACUGCGUGUCGCUCCCGGCCGAAACGUUUACCUUGAAAAAAUUAGAGUGUUCAAAGCAGACCUGUUUGAGUCUGAAUAUUCGUGCAUGGAAUAAUGAAAUAUGAAUUCGGUUCUAUUUUGUUGGUUUUCGGAACUCGAGUUAAUGAUCAAGAGGGACAGACGGGGGCAUUCGUACUCUGCCGUUAGAGGUGAAAUUCUUGGAUCGGCGGAAGACGCGCAACUGCGAAAGCAUUUGCCAAGAAUGUUUUCUUUAAUCAAGAACGAUAGUCGGAGGUUCGAAGACGAUCAGAUACCGUCCUAGUUUCGACUGUAAACUAUGCCAGCUAACGAUCAGACAGAGUUCUCUACGACUUGUCUGGCAGUUUCCGGGAAACCAAAGCGUUUGGGUUCCGGGGGAAGUAUGGUUGCAAAGCUGAAACUUAAAGGAAUUGACGGAAGGGCACCACCAGGAGUGGAGCCUGCGGCUUAAUUUGACUCAACACGGGGAAACUCACCCGGCCCGGACACAGUGAGGAUUGACAGAUUGAGAGUUCUUUCUUGAUUCUGUGGGUGGUGGUGCAUGGCCGUUCUUAGUUGGUGGAGCGAUUUGUCUGGUUAAUUCCGAUAACGAACGAGACUCUGGCAUGUUAAAUAGUCGCGGAAGUGCGUAUGCACUUGCCGAAUUGACUUCUUAGAGGGACUAGUGAUUUUAAUUCACACGAGAUUGAGCAAUAACAGGUCUGUGAUGC